CCUACGGGAGGCUGCAGUGGGGAAUAUUGCACAAUGGGGGGAACCCUGAUGCAGCGACGCCGCGUGAGGGAAGAAGUAUUUCGGUAUGUAAAGCUCUAUCAGCAGGGAAGAAAAUGACGGUACCUGACUAAGAAGCCCCGGCUAACUACGUGCCAGCAGCCGCGGUAAUACGUAGGGGGCGAGCGUUAUCCGGAUUUACUGGGUGUAAAGGGGGCGUAGACGGUUAGGCAAGUCUGAAGUGAAAGCCCAAGGCUCAACCUUGGGACUGCUUUGGAAACUGUAGAACUGGAGUGCAGGAGCGGUAGGCGGAAUGCCUGGUGUAGCGGUGAAAUGCGUAGAUAUUAGGAGGAACACCGGUGGCGAAGGCAGCUUACUGGACUGUAACUGACGUUGAGGCUCGAAGGCGUGGGGAGCAAACAGGAUUAGAUACCCUGGUAGUC
RNAcentral lists this ribosomal RNA (440 nucleotides) under uncultured bacterium. RNAcentral's name for it is "partial 16S ribosomal RNA". It matches the Rfam family "Bacterial small subunit ribosomal RNA", at positions 338 to 795 of the family's 1533-position model. The record is from RNAcentral.